UACGAAGGGUGCAAGCGUUACUCGGAAUUACUGGGCGUAAAGCGUGCGUAGGUGGUUUGUUAAGUCUGAUGUGAAAGCCCUGGGCUCAACCUGGGAACUGCAUUGGAAACUGGCUUACUAGAGUGCGGUAGAGGGGUGUGGAAUUCCUGGUGUAGCGGUGGAAUGCGCAGAUAUCAGGAAGAACACCCGUGGCGAAGGCGGCUCUCUGGAACGCAACUGACGCUGAGACGCGAAAGCGUGGGGAGCAAACAGG
Molecule: ribosomal RNA, 253 nt
Filed under: uncultured bacterium
Lineage: Bacteria
Description: partial 16S ribosomal RNA
Rfam family: Bacterial small subunit ribosomal RNA
Source: RNAcentral